UUUUUUUUUUUUCUUUUCUUUUCUUUUUUCUUCCCUUUCCUUCCUUUCUUUUUGGUUUAGAGAAGCCCUUUCCAUAUUUCCUUUAACCUGGGUUUUGUGUUGCUGUAUUCUUUAAGUUUUUGUUUGGUGGGAAAAAUUUUUAUUUCCCCUUCUAUUUUAAAUGAUAUUCUUGCUGGAUAGAGUAUUCUAGGUUGCAUAUUUUUUCCUUUUAGCACUUUAAAUAUCUCUUGCCAUUCCCUCCUGGCCUGUAGUGUUUCUGUAGAGAAAUCAGCUGAUAUUCUUAUGGGGGUUCCCUUGUAGGUAACAUUCUGGUUUUCUCUUGCUGCCUUUAGGAUCCUCUCUUUAUCACUAACUUUUGCCAUUUUUAUUAUGAUGUGUCUUGGUGUGGGUCUGUUUGGGUUCAGUUUGUUUGGGGCCCUCUGUGCUUCUUGUAUCUUGAAUCCAGUAUCCUUUAGAUUUGGGAAGUUUCCAGCAAUAAUUUCUUCAAAUAUAUUUUCCAUUCCCUCAUCUUUUUCUACUCCUUCUGGAAUUCCUAUUAUGCGUAGAUUGGCCUGCUUUAUAUUAUCCCAUAGGUCUCUUAUAUUGCUUUCCAGUUUUUUGAUUUGGGUUUUCUGUUGACCGGAUUGAGUGAUUUCCAUUAUUCUAUCUUCCAUAUCACUGAUUCGUUCUUCUGCAUUAUUCAUUCUGGUUUUUACUGCCCCUAGUUCAGUUUGCAUCUCUGCAAAUGAAUGUUCUAGUUUUUCUUGGCUCCUCCUUAUAUUUUCUAGUUCCUUUCUGAGGGUAUCUGCAUUACUGUUCAUAUCGUCUCUUAAUUCCUUCAGUAUUCUCACUAUUUCGCUUUUGAACUCCAGGUCUGUCAGACUGCAGAGAUCUGUUUCAUUGUUGACUGUUUUAGGUGAGUUCUCCUGUUGGUUUGACUGGGGGUGGUUUCUCAGCUUCUUCAUCUUGCUUGUUGUUUUCUUUCUCCUGAGGGAGUUGUACUCUCCUUGAUCGGGCAGUGUUUGCCUUCUCACUGCUGUGGAAUAUUUCCUGAGGGCUAGCGUUGUUGGUCAAUCUUUUUUGAGGCAGUGUGGCUUUUCUGGAGUGUUGAUGGGGCUAACAGUGUUUCUUUGAAGCAAAGGAGGACUUCCUGAGGGCAGACAGGACUGGGAGGUCCACUGUUUGAUCUUUCCCCCGGUAGGUGACUUUCCAGGGUGCGGGAUCCCUUUCUCCUCCGCAGUUCCCUUUCCGGAGCGCCCGUCCCGCUCGGAUUCACCUUCUCUCACUCUCCUCUUUUCUCCCGUUCUGCCCAAUAAUGUCACGAACUUCUUGCCGUUAUUGGAGUUUAGGUUCCUCUGCCAGUGAUUGGCUGCUGUUCUGUGCGAGUCAUUUAUUCUGUAGAUGUGCUUUUUUUGUUGUGUUUGUAUGAGAGGGUGAGAGUGUCCCCCUCCUCCUCUGCAUCUUGUCCUCUCUGGUUUAUUUUAUUUUAUUGGUCUUUUUGCCAUUUCUAGGGCCACUCCCUCAGCAUAUGGAGGUUCCCAGGCCAGGGGUCGAAUCAGAGCUUAGCCACCGGCCUACACCACAGCCACAGCAACUCGGGAUCCGAGCCGCUUCUGCGACCUAUACCACAGCUCACAGCCGGGUCCUUAACCCACUGAGAAAGGCCAGGGAUCCAACCCGCAACCUCAUGGUUCCUAGUCGGAUUCGUUAACCACUGAGCCACGACGGGAACUCCAGGCACCUGGUUUAUUAACACAUCAACUGGACAACUCUGCCUUUCGCCAUUUAACCUCAUUGUGAACGAACAACCCCAACACUUCUCAGGUUCUCGGGGACCCUGGGAGAGCCGGCCCUCCUGCUUCCGGGGAAGGGGUGAGAGCACAGGGAGGAGGUGCGAGCACACCACUAUUCCUCAAAGAAGGCCAUGGUGAGCUCCCCUGCGGCAUCUCUGUGCUGCGGCUCCUCCCUCGGCUCCGGCUCUUUUCCAACAUCCUCCAUGAGCUGCUCCAGGUCCAGGUCCCUGGAGGCUUCAUCGUCAGAGGGGACACUUCCAGCCCCCAGAGGCCAUGCCUCCUGGGGUUCAGGCCCCUCCCUCCCCACCACGGGACAGGCCCCACAAGGAGCUGGUGGAGUCAGCCCCUCAGGCGCUAUUCUACCUUCUUUUUCCUCAGACGAGCUGCUUAGUGAGACCUUGCUUUGGGGAGCUUUGAAGUUUUUCUUAGGGCCUAACUGAAAAUGUGACAAAACUAAGUUUUUACGUUCUACAAGUCAAACUCCUGAUUUUCUCAUCCCAAAACAAUCUCUGAAAAAGAUGACAUUUUUCACGGGCAGUUCCCAUUGUGGCUCAGCAGUAACAAACCCAACUAGUAGCCAUGAGGAUGCGGAUUCAAUCCCUGGCCUUGCUCAGUGGGUUAAGAAUCUAGCAUUGCCGUGACCUGUGGUGUAGGUUGCAGGCAUUGCUUGGAUCCCAUAUUGCUGUGGCUGUGCUGUAGGCCAGAGGCUACACUCCAACUCAACCCCUAGAGGGAACUUCCAUAUGCCACAGGUGCAGCCCUAAAAAGCAAAAAAAUUUUUAAAAAUGACGUUUUCAGUUGAAAGAAACUAGGUGGCUUUGGAGUCAGAAAGACCUAGAUUUAAGCCAUGGAAAAGCCAUAUGCUACACUGGUCUGAAGCAACACAUUUUAAACCCUUUGAGCUCAGUCUCUUUCUCUCUAAAAUGCCACAUAUCCAUUCAUCGAAUGAAUCAAACAAAUAAAGGGAAUAAGCAUAGAUGUAGCUAUCUAGCCAGCCCACAGAACUGCUAAUAAACGUUAGUUCCCGCCUUCUCACCAUUCGCCUGUCCCUAGAACAAAUACAGUCAAUAACCAUUAUGUUUCUAGAACAUGUGUUGCAUUCAUACAAAAUGCUUCCUUAGGAUCACAAAAGGCAGAAAAAGUGCAAGGCAAAAAUAGGAACAAAGAACAAGGGAAACAAAAACAGCAGAGAAUACUAUACGUAUCACUCUAACUGUACUGAUAACCACACUGAAUGCCAAUGGUCUAAGUGCACCAAUUAAAAGACAAAGAUUGGCAGUUCCCUUGUGGCUCAAGGUUAAGGACACAGCGUUGCUAUAGCUGUGGGGCAGGCUGCAACUGCUGUUGGAUCCCUGGCCUGGGAUCUUCCACAUGCUGAGAGUCCGGCCAAAACAAUAAUAAUAAAAUUAAAUAAAAAUAGGGACUCCCAUCUCGCCUCAGCCGGUUAAGGACACACUGUUGUCUCUGUAAGGAAGUGGGUUCGAUCCUCAGCCUUGCUCAGUGGGUUAAGGACCCAGCGUUGCCACAAGCUGCAGUGGAGGUCACAGAUGCAGGUCACAUCUCGUGUGGCCAAGAGCAUGGUGUAGGCCUCAGGUGCAGCUCCUGGGAACUGCCGUAUGCCUCAGGUGCAGCCAUAAAAAGAAAAUACUACUACUAAUAAUAUAACAAAGGACUAAGAUUGUCAAAGUGGAUCAAAAAAAAUUACCCAUGGUGCUUCAUUGGGUUGAGGAUGCAGCAUUAUAACUGUUGUGGCUGAGGUCACUGCUGCGGCACAGGUUCAGUCCCUAGCCCAGGAACCUCCUCGUGUCACGGGCAUGGCCAAAAAACAAAAACAAACAAACAAAAAAACACUGCCUACCUAUACCCAUAGGUUGUCUACAAGAAACUCACUUUAAAGAUAAAGACAUACAAAUUGAAAGCAAAUGGAUGGAGAAAAAUAGACUAUGCUGACACUAAUGAAAAGAAAGCAAAACAGCUACAUUAAUUUCAGACAAAGAAGACUGCAAAGUAAGGAAAGUAAUCAGAGAUAAAGAGGCCACUACAUAAUGACAAAGGGAGCAAUUCUCUAAGAAGAAAUAAAAAUGUCCAACAUAUAUGCCCCUAAUAACAGAGCGUCAAACGAGGCAAGGUAAAAAGUGAUGGACCUCUAAGGAGAAAUAAAUAGACAAUCCACUGUCAUAGCUGGAGAUGCCAAUACCCCCCACUUUCAGAAACAACAGAAACUCAGUAAGGACAUACUUGAACUCAACAAAUGAGUAUAAUUCACAUCAAGAGACCACUUCAGGCAACAAAUGUAGAAUACACAUUUUUCCCAAGCUACAUGGAACAUGCACCAAGACAGACAUUCUGGGCCACAAAACACACCCAAACAAAUGUUAAAGACUAGAAAUCAUACAAUUUCUGCUCAGAUCACACUGGAAUUAAACUAGAAGUUUGUAGCAGAAAGAUAACAAGAAAAUCCCAAAAUACAUGCCGAUGGAACAGCACACUUCUAAAUACACAUGGAUCAAAGAAGAAAUCUCCAGAGAAAUUUUUAAAUAUUUUGUUCUUGUUAGGGGUUUUUGGUCUUUUUUAUUUUUCUUAGGGCUGCACCUGUGGCAUACAGAGGUUCCCAGGCUAGGGAUCCAAUCAGAGCUGAAGCCUACACCAUAGCCACAACAAUGCUGGAUCCAAGUCACAUCUGCAACCUACACCACAGCUCACGGCAGCACUGGAUCCUUAACCCACUGAGCAAGGCCAGGGAUCAAACCUGCCUCCUCGUGGAUGCUAGUCAGGUUCACUGACCACUGAGCCACAAUGGGAGCUCCACAUACUUUAAUUUAAAAAAAAAAAAGUUUUACAAAGAAAAAUCAGUAGAAAAAAAUAAAACAAAAAGAUCAAUAAAGUUGACAAGCCUCUGGCUAAGCUAGUAAGAAAGAACAUAAAGAACACAAAUUUCUAAAAAUUACUAAUAUCAGAAAUAAAAAUGGGGAUAUCACUACAGAUCUCAUGGACAUUAAAAAGAUAAUAAAGGGGAGCUCCUUGGUGGCCUAGCAGUUAACGACUCUGGUGUUGUCACUGCUGUGGCUUGGGUCACUGCUGUGGCAUGGAUUCAAUCCCUGGUCCAGGAGCUCCCUCAUGCCACAGCCUCAGCCACACAC
This 4912-nucleotide long non-coding RNA is filed under the name Sus scrofa (pig). RNAcentral describes it as "lncRNA (ENSSSCG00000062241.1)". The record is from RNAcentral. Lineage: Eukaryota; Metazoa; Chordata; Mammalia; Artiodactyla; Suidae.